GAGGUGCAAGCACUCCUCCUUUUCUCCCUUGACUUUUCCUUCUUGGAACUAUUUUAUUUGGAAGAGAGAGUGGGGUGCACGCCACCUUUGCAUGAGAUCCAGAGGGAGCACAUGCCCUUUCUUCUUUUGGUAGGUUCUAGGGGUGCAUGCCCUUGGAAUUCAUGUGGGGUGAGAGGGGCACAUGCCCCUCUAUGGUUUCUGCAUAAGGAGAAGGGAGAUAGGGCACACGCCUCCUCUCUUUCUUGCAUGGAUAAGAACAAGAUUUGGUGCCCCCUCUGAUUUUUCUAUUUUGGAAGAUUGGAUUCCUUAUGGGCUUGAUUUUCUUGGGAAGAAAAUUAGCUAAUAAGGUGUUAGUCUUUAUAUGAUAAAGACUUGCCUAUUAACCCAAUUGGAUUUUGGAUUAGACUCAAAAAUGAAUAGAUCUAUUUAAGAGGCUCUUCUCCUAGGGGCUUGGUGAAUCACAAAUUUAGAAUUUAUGCUCUUACCCUAUCUCCAUGCCUCCUCUCCCUCUCCUCUAUAUUACACACCUAUGGUAGUUGGGCAUCCCAAUCUCCACAAGCCUAAAGUAGUUAGGCAAACACUAUUUCAUGCCAAAAAAAAAGAAAGCAUGAACUCAAGCAUUGAGAUCAUGAGGAAGAAGAUCAAGAGUUGAUCUAGGAUCCAUAAAGGCUGCAGAUCAUCUUAGAGAAGAUAGAUCUACCACAAAAAGGAUGAUCCAAGGUUGAUUAUGGUGGAUACAUGUAGAGAUCGGACACAUGCACUGCUCAACAGCAAACCUCCUUAGAUCCACGAUAAUCAAAUUACGGUGUUCAUCUACUCGCAUAAAGGAUAAUGAGAUUAUCACAUUCUCUUUUGUAUGCUGAUUUUUGCUUUAAUUUUCUGAUUUAGAUCAAUGUG
RNAcentral lists this long non-coding RNA (897 nucleotides) under Elaeis guineensis (African oil palm). Its description in RNAcentral is "long non-coding RNA (EGUI_LNC049558)". Lineage: Eukaryota; Viridiplantae; Streptophyta; Magnoliopsida; Arecales; Arecaceae. The record is from RNAcentral.